Molecule: ribosomal RNA, 194 nt
Filed under: uncultured Parabacteroides sp.
Lineage: Bacteria; Pseudomonadati; Bacteroidota; Bacteroidia; Bacteroidales; Tannerellaceae
Description: partial 16S ribosomal RNA
Rfam family: Bacterial small subunit ribosomal RNA
Source: RNAcentral
UACUCCUACGGGAGGCAGCAGUGAGGAAUAUUGGUCAAUGGGCGGGAGCCUGAACCAGCCAAGUCGCGUGAAGGAAGAAGGAUCUAUGGUUCGUAAACUUCUUUUGCAGGGGAAUAAAGUGCGGGACGUGUCCUGUUUUGUACGUACCCUGAGAAUAAGGAUCGGCUAACUCCGUGCCAGCAGCCGCGGUAAUA